AAAAGUUUUUUUACUUUUUUAUUUUUUGAAAAAAAGACUUCCAUUCAUUGAAUUCUAAAACACAUACUAAACGAAAUAGGCCAUCAUGACUCAAUAACCAAAAAAAAAGCAGCAAGUGUCAAUAGACCCCUCAAAUGUAGCCCAAAGAAAAACAAAAUAGAAACCCGACAAUGCAACCAGAAAGACAGCUUGGGGAAGCCAAGAUUCCCAAUGUCCAAGAGGUGACAACGAUGAGCAGGAUAAUGGAAAAAUCAAGGGUGAAGUAGGACGAAUCAAUAGUAAGGAUCUACUUCGACAAAGCAUACUAGAGAAACCUAAAAAGGAGGGUCGCCCCACCCAGUGUCUGCAGCAACCUCGAGUUCAACUUGGAAAGGGACCUCUUUUACCCAAAACUAAUCUGAUGCCAUCGAAACCCUAAAUAUGUAAGUAGGUGAGCUACAGAAUUUUGCUCCCUAUAAUAGUGUCAGAUUUCAACUGCAGUGAAACUGUUAAGUAGUCUUUGUUGACCCUCCUAGAUAAGAGCCCUAAUCUUCGAUCCGUCCUCACCUGUAUUUCAAAAUUUACGAAUGACAUGCACAAAUCCCCCUCAAAAACAACCCGAGAGAGACCCAGAUCGUGAGCAAAGUCCACGGUUGUGAUAAAAGCCAACGUCUCCAUCGUAAAAGCUGAAGAGACAUGUUGAUAAAGGUGAGUGCAAGCCUCUAGCACUUGGUCAUGGCUAUCACGAACAACCACACAUAAGCAAAAAAAGCUAGUACCCCUUGUACGCAACAUCAAAAUUGGCCUUCACCAGAGGUGCAGCCAAUGGUAGCCAGCGCAUAGUACAUGAGCCCACGGAACUCACAACUGGCAUGCCCAAAGCAGACAAACCACCCAGAUACGAACAAAUGAAAGAGAGCAAUUCCAGAGGUAUUUAGGAGAGGCCUUCGUGGUAUUGACGAUUCCUCUCCAACCAAAAAGCCUAUACCGUUGUAAAUACGAACUCAGUUCCAUCCCCAGAAAAAGCAUUACACAAGAAACCUAGCCAACUCACCUAACUGGAAUCAUUGUUGGAUACUGGCGAGGAAAUGCACAAAUGGUCCCAUACUAAAGCAGCAAAAGGGCAAUCCCAGACAACAUGGGUAGUCGUCUCAGGUACAGUUAGACAUUUAGGACAAAAUUGGGUGUGAGGGAUGUGGCUGUUGUAGAGAUUGUAUAGAGUAGGAGCAUAGUCCUUGAGAAACUUCCAAACUGUAAUGUGAACUUUAGGAGGGGCACAGGCCUUCCACAACCUUUUAAAGAGAUCUUAGGAACUCAUAGGGUAGAUAUGGUUAGAUGGCAAUAGGGAGAAAGGUACAGACAAUCGAAACAUUUUAUACCGGUGCGAACAGCAUAACAACUCGUCAGGUCCCCUUUCCAAACUACCAUGUCAUCACCAGCAAAAGGAGACAGAGGAACACUCAAGAUACAAGCAGCUUCAUCAUCGGAGAACACCUCCAAUAUCAAGUGCCGCCAAGCCAGCUCGAGAAUCAAGGGAUGUCAGAGGUAUUGAUCACACUAUCACCAAAAGUUUUUAGUAUAGUUAGUUUAAAUGUUUUGAGCGUGGCAUGUAUAGGGACUUCGUCUUUUUGUUUAGUGCCAUAUUAGUUUAGCCAUAAGUGUUGGCUCAUAUGGAUGUGAUAUUCAUUUUGUAUAGACUAUUGAUGUUGGCUAAUAUUGAUUAUUAUUAAAUGCAUUUGAUGAAAAUUCUCA
Gossypium arboreum is the source of this 1731-nucleotide long non-coding RNA. RefSeq lists it as uncharacterized. The record is from RefSeq and is a predicted model, not a curated record. The transcript has 2 exons. Lineage: Eukaryota; Viridiplantae; Streptophyta; Magnoliopsida; Malvales; Malvaceae.